Molecule: long non-coding RNA, 2054 nt
Organism: Bombyx mori (domestic silkworm)
Lineage: Eukaryota; Metazoa; Arthropoda; Insecta; Lepidoptera; Bombycidae
Exons: 2
Source: RefSeq, a predicted model, not a curated record
UCUCACCCGACGUUCAAUCUCCGCCCGGGGCUAGAAUCCAGGCAGAGAAGGGGGGCUCCCGCGGUCAACACUACAAAGAGGUCCGCGGCGCCACACUUAAGGCACCCGACCGACGGGUCGUCAAGGCGAUAGUCGUCGACUCUACGUCUGCCGUCUCAGUACGGCAGCCUAACAGCCGCCCCAGAUGGUGCCGCUGGUGUCCUGGAAUGUCCUACUGGACCAGAACCAGCCUUCAACGUCGAACAAUGAUACUCCCCCAACCAGUUGCUCUUACAUAAAAGUUCCGUAGAAUUGUAAUGAUUUUGUCCCAGGCGGGCUGUGAGCUCGUUUUCCCGUCUACACCGUUAAUAAAAAAACCACUACCCUACCUAUUCAAAGCAUACAAGUAUAGAGGUUUCCUAAGCUGCGACCUUAUAUCGCAUAGUUGAAGUCGUCGUGGCCUAAAGGAUAAGCCGUCCAGUGCAUUCGUAUGCAGCGAUGCACCGGUGUUCGAAUCCCGCCGGCGGGUACCAAUUGUUCCACUGAAAUACGUACUUAAAAAAUGUACACGAUUGACUUCCACGGUGAAGGAAUAACAUCAUGUAAUAAAAAUCAAACCCAAAAUUAUAAUUUGCGUAAUUACCAUCACCCUGCCUAUUUCUUCCGUGAAGCAGUAUUGCGUUUCGGUUUGAAGGGUGGUGCAGCUGUUGUAUACUGAGACCUUAGAACUCAUAUUUUAAGGUGGGUGGCGGCUUUUACAUUGUAGAUGUCUAUGAGUUGCGGUAACUACUUAACACUAGGUGGGCCGUGAGUUCGUCCACUCAUCUAUGCAAUAAAUAAAAAGUCCCAGAUGGGUCUCAGUUUGUCUAAGUCUAAGUUAUAUCUGGACUCACUUUUUCAGAGUGAGUCUGAGCGGCCCGGCUGCCGGCGGCGUAGCUUUACACGCAAAGGAAACCGAUUACGUUAUUUAUGUUUGUAGCUCGCAACGGAUCUUUACGACACCAGCCGUAUAACACAGAUUGUAGGGGAACGAGCCGCGAAGCCAGAGCGGUAAUAACAUCCAGGCUCAGCGCGAACACAAAUCAACGUACAUUUGCUCCACUAAGCAUAAAUACAUAGCGAUUUGUAACUCCUUAUUUCAUCAACCGACAAACUAACCUCGGGGCAAUAUACUUGAACGAAAUUCACAGAAUCAAACAAUUAAUUUGAGGUUGCGCAGUGCAAGAGGGAAGACCCGGAGAUCUGCAGCGCCAGAAGCCAGGCCGCUGUCCCUCGCUGUACAUUAAUUGAGGAAGGACAUCCUAAGCAUAAAAAUAAAUGCAUAGAGCGAAUGCUUAAAAAGCAUGUGUCAAUUCACAUCGCGUAGAGGUGAAACCUGCGGAAAUAUUCAGCUCUAUUAUAUCUCUUUUAUAUUCUUUUGCAGGUAAAUCUUAUAGAUCUACAUGUUUGUCUCCUCUUGGUGUUUUUUUUUCGUUACAACGAGUUUCAAAUGACAACGGCGGUAAAAAAGUUUUCACUUCGAAAAUGUUCUUUCGAAACCAAAGACAUCCAUAAAACGUGAAUCUCGUAAUGACGGACCUCACUCCUUAAUCUAGUACAAACUCUGUCAUACUGGAUAUUUCUCUCGCCAGUCAAAUAGUCAAAACGACAACAUUUAGAUCAUGAGACUCAAAGUGGACAAUAUCGUGCUUAUAGCCGAUGUUAAGGAGAAUUAUAUAAUAUAACGUAAUAUUAAAACUUUUCAUUUCGUACGAAUCGGGUUUUUUCUAUUUACGCGCAAUUCUGGAAGGUCAUGAAUAAUCAUGAACCAAUUGUCGGUGUCACGGUCGUCAAUCAAAGCACGUGUCUUUGGUGUAGCGGAAAAUGUGAGACGACAUGAUCAAAAUAUAUUGAAUGGUCCGCGUCGGCUCGGCGUGGACUGCUUCUCUGGGCAACUUAGAUCAUCAGCUCAAGAUCAGCAUGCACUCUUUGGGCAAGUAAUUUAUCGAACACAAAACGUAUUUACAAGUUUCCUGGAUUUUUUACACAGAAUCUGAAAUUCCGUGUUUGCAAAUAAUACAUUCAUCGUAACUAGA